GUGGGGAAUAUUGGACAAUGGGGGGAACCCUGAUCCAGCCAUGCCGCGUGUGUGAAGAAGGCCUUAUGGUUGUAAAGCACUUUAAGCGAGGAGGAGGCUACUUUGGUUAAUACCCAGAGAUAGUGGACGUUACUCGCAGAAUAAGCACCGGCUAACUCUGUGCCAGCAGCCGCGGUAAUACAGAGGGUGCGAGCGUUAAUCGGAUUUACUGGGCGUAAAGCGUACGUAGGCGGCUUUUUAAGUCGGAUGUGAAAUCCCUGAGCUUAGCUUAGGAAUUGCAUUCGAUCCUGGGAAGCUAGAGUAUGGGAGAGGAUGGUAGAAUUCCAGGUGUAGCGGUGAAAUGCGUAGAGAUCUGGAGGAAUACCGAUGGCGAAGGCAGCCAUCUGGCCUAAUACUGACACUGAGGUGAGAAAGCAUGGGGAGCAAACAGGAUUAGAAACCCGGGUAGUCC
This 451-nucleotide ribosomal RNA is filed under the name uncultured bacterium. RNAcentral's name for it is "partial 16S ribosomal RNA". It matches the Rfam family "Bacterial small subunit ribosomal RNA", at positions 354 to 796 of the family's 1533-position model. The record is from RNAcentral.